Populus nigra (black poplar) is the source of this 1640-nucleotide long non-coding RNA. RefSeq lists it as uncharacterized. The record is from RefSeq and is a predicted model, not a curated record. Lineage: Eukaryota; Viridiplantae; Streptophyta; Magnoliopsida; Malpighiales; Salicaceae. The transcript has 6 exons.
CCUUUAUCUUUUUUUUUUAUGCAGCUUGUAAUUUAUGGUGGUUGUAUGGUGUGUAAGAGUUGGUGGAAUUAAAAAAAGGAAAACUUUCAUUGGGCAUUUGGUCAAUUGUGAUGCUUGGAUGAACAUCCAUCUCCGUUUAGCUUUAAUUUUCUUUAACCCUAAUAUCCUUGAUCUGUUUUAGAUUCCAGAAUUUCCCAUCCCUUUCCAUGCGUUCAUUUUAUGUUCUUGACCCUCUCUUUUCUUGCAGGUUGCUUGAUUUUUCUUUUUUGCUCUAAAAAACAUGCUUUCUCUUUCUUUACUCAAGACUGCUCAAGGCCACCCAAUCCUUGAAAUUCAUGGCGGUUGUAUGUCGUAACAAAUGGUGGAAUUGAAAAACAGAGACUUACAAUGGACAUUUGGUCAAUUGUGAUGCUUGAAUGAACAUCCAACUCCGUUUAACUUUAAUUUUCGUUAACCUUAAUAUCCUUGAUCUGUUUUAGAUUCCAAAAUUUCCCAUCCCUUUCCAUACGUUCAUUUUAUGUUCUUGACCCUGGCUUUUCUUGCAGUUUGCUUGAUUUUUCUUUUUAGGUCUAAAAGCAUGGUAACCAUCUCAACUGUUUUUUAUUUGAAAACAUCUUUCUCCUGUUUUCUUUGAUGCACUUAAUUUUUUUUUUCUUUUGUUAGCUGCAGCUUCCUCUUUCUUUACUCAAAAGUGCUCAAGGCCACCCAAUGUUGGUGGAAUGGAAAAAUGAAGACUUACUAUGGGCAUUUGGUCAAUUGUGAUGCUUGGAUGAACAUCCAUCUCCGUUUAGUUUUAAUUUUCCUGAACCCUAAUAUCCUUGAUCUGUUUUAGAUUUCAAAAUUUGCCAUCCCUUUCCAUGCUUUCAUUUUAUGUUCUUGACCCCAGCUUUUCUUGCAGGUUGCUUUAUUUUUCUUUUUGGAUCUAAAAAACAUGCUUCCUCUUUCUUUACUCAAGACUACUCAAGGCCACCCAAUGCUUGUAAUGGUGGUUGUAUGUUGUAGCAGUUGGUGGAAUUGAAAAACGGAGAGACUUAUGAUGAGCAUUUGGUCAAUUGUGAUGCUUGGAUGAACAUCCAUCUCCGUUUAACUUUAAUUUUCCUUAACCCUAAUAUCCUUGAUCUGUUUUAUAUUCCAAAAUUUGCCAUCCCUUUCCAUGCAUUCAUUUUAUGUUCUUGACCCUAGCUUUUCUUGCAGGUUGCUUGAUUUUUCUUUUUUACUCUAAAAAACAUGGUAACCAUCUCAACUGUCUUUGAUUUGAAAACUUUCUUUCUCCUGUUUUCUGACACUUUAUUUUUUUUUCUUGUAUUAACUGUUGCUUCCUAUUUCUUAACUCAACACUGCUCAAGGCCACCCAAUGGUAAGAAAGAGAUGUCUGUUUUUCUUGUCGUGUCAUUUGACCAUAUGAAUCUAGAAUUUUCUGCAAAUUUGUAGACUUUGUUUUACGACCUUUAUCAUUGUUUUUCUGGAGCUUAUAAUUCAUGGUUGUUGCAUGCUGUAACAGUUGAUGGAAUUAUAAAAAGGAGAGUACAAUGGGCAUUUGUUCAAUUGUGAUGCUUGGAUGAACAUCCAUCUCCGUUUAGCUUUAAUUUUCUUUAACCCUAAUAUCGUUGAUCUGUUUUAGAUUCCAAAAUUUGCCAUCC